UACGUAGGUGGCAAGCGUUGUCCGGAUUUACUGGGCGUAAAGAGCGCGCAGGCGGUCGGAUAAGUCGAAUGUGAAAGCCCCCGGCUCAACUGGGGAGGGUCACGCGAUACUGCUCGACUCGAAGGCAGGAGAGGGAAGUGGAAUUCCCGGUGUAGUGGUGAAAUGCGUAGAUAUCGGGAGGAACACCAGUGGCGAAGGCGACUUCCUGGCCUGUUCUUGACGCUGAGGCGCGAAAGCUAGGGUAGCAAACGGG
RNAcentral lists this ribosomal RNA (253 nucleotides) under uncultured bacterium. RNAcentral's name for it is "partial 16S ribosomal RNA". It matches the Rfam family "Bacterial small subunit ribosomal RNA", at positions 524 to 776 of the family's 1533-position model. The record is from RNAcentral.